Molecule: ribosomal RNA, 253 nt
Filed under: uncultured bacterium
Lineage: Bacteria
Description: partial 16S ribosomal RNA
Rfam family: Bacterial small subunit ribosomal RNA
Source: RNAcentral
UACGUAGGGUGCGAGCGUUGUCCGGAAUUAUUGGGCGUAAAGGGCUCGUAGGCGGUCCGUUACGUCGGGAGUGAAAACUCGGGGCUCAACCCCGAGCCUGCUUCCGAUACGGGCGGACUAGAGGUAUGCAGGGGAGAACGGAAUUCCUGGUGUAGCGGUGAAAUGCGCAGAUAUCAGGAGGAACACCGGUGGCGAAGGCGGUUCUCUGGGCAUUACCUGACGCUGAGGAGCGAAAGUGUGGGGAGCGAACAGG